UACGUAGGGGGCGAGCGUUGUCCGGAGUUACUGGGCGUAAAGGGCAUGCAGGCGUUCAGACGCGUUUUGUGUGACAGCGGAGGGCUUCACUCUCCGAGCAUACGAAAGACGGUGUGACUUGAGGGCUCGAGAGGGACACGGAAUUCCGGGUGGAGUGGUGAAAUGCGUAGAGAUCCGGAGGAACACCGAAGGCGAAGGCAGUGUCCUGGCGAGUAUCCUGACGCUGAGGUGCGAAAGCCAGGGGAGCGAACGGG
This 254-nucleotide ribosomal RNA is filed under the name uncultured bacterium. RNAcentral describes it as "partial 16S ribosomal RNA". It matches the Rfam family "Bacterial small subunit ribosomal RNA", at positions 524 to 776 of the family's 1533-position model. The record is from RNAcentral.